GGGGAAUUUUGGACAAUGGGCGGAAGCCUGAUCCAGCCAUGCCGCGUGAGUGAAGAAGGCCUUCGGGUUGUAAAGCUCUUUCGGUGGGGAAGAAAUUGCACGGGCUAAUAUCCUGUGUAGAUGACGGUACCCGACUAAGAAGCACCGGCUAACUACGCGCCAGCAGCCGCGGUAAUACGUAGGGUGCGAGCGUUAAUCGGAAUUACUGGGCGUAAAGCGUGCGCAGGCGGUUUGGUAAGUCAGAUGUGAAAGCCCCGGGCUCAACCUGGGAACUGCAUUUGAGACUGCCAGGCUGGAGUGUGGCAGAGGGGGGUGGAAUUCCACGUGUAGCAGUGAAAUGCGUAGAGAUGUGGAGGAACACCGAUGGCGAAGGCAGCCCCCUGGGUCACUACUGACGCUCAUGCACGAAAGCGUGGGGAGCAAAC
RNAcentral lists this ribosomal RNA (425 nucleotides) under uncultured bacterium. RNAcentral's name for it is "bacterial SSU rRNA". It matches the Rfam family "Bacterial small subunit ribosomal RNA", at positions 356 to 773 of the family's 1533-position model. The record is from RNAcentral.